CCUACGGGAGGCAGCAGUGGGGAAUAUUGGACAAUGGGCGAAAGCCUGAUCCAGCCAUGCCGCGUGUGUGAAGAAGGUCUUCGGAUUGUAAAGCACUUUAAGUUGGGAGGAAGGGCCAUUACCUAAUACGUGAUGGUUUUGACGUUACCGACAGAAUAAGCACCGGCUAACUCUGUGCCAGCAGCCGCGGUAAUACAGAGGGUGCAAGCGUUAAUCGGAAUUACUGGGCGUAAAGCGCGCGUAGGUGGUUUGUUAAGUUGGAUGUGAAAUCCCCGGGCUCAACCUGGGAACUGCAUUCAAAACUGACUGACUAGAGUAUGGUAGAGGGUGGUGGAAUUUCCUGUGUAGCGGUGAAAUGCGUAGAUAUAGGAAGGAACACCAGUGGCGAAGGCGACCACCUGGACUGAUACUGACACUGAGGUGCGAAAGUGUGGGGAGCAAACAGGAUUAGAUACCCUGGUAGUCCACGCCGUAAACGAUGUCAACUAGCCGUUGGGAGCCUUGAGCUCUUAGUGGCGCAGCUAACGCAUUAAGUUGACCGCCUGGGGAGUAACGGCCGCAAGGUUAAAACUCAAAGGAAUUGACGG
Molecule: ribosomal RNA, 587 nt
Filed under: uncultured bacterium
Lineage: Bacteria
Description: bacterial SSU rRNA
Rfam family: Bacterial small subunit ribosomal RNA
Source: RNAcentral